ACAGAGGCCCCGAGCGUUAGGCGGAAUCACUGGGCUUAAAGCGUGUGUAGGCGGGCCCGUAAGUGUCUUGUGAAAUCCCACGGCUCAACCGUGGAACUGCUGGGCAUACUGCGGGUCUUGGGCCAACUAGGGGCAGCUGGAACAAGCGGUGGAGCGGUGAAAUGCGUAGAUAUCGCUUGGAACGCCGAAGGUGAAAACAGGUUGCUGGGGUUGUGCCGACGCUGAGACACGAAAGCCAGGGGAGCAAACGGAA
RNAcentral lists this ribosomal RNA (253 nucleotides) under uncultured prokaryote. Its description in RNAcentral is "partial 16S ribosomal RNA". It matches the Rfam family "Bacterial small subunit ribosomal RNA", at positions 525 to 777 of the family's 1533-position model. The record is from RNAcentral.